AAAUAAGGCUUGAAAACACGGUUCAUCAGAUCCAUAAAAGCUACCGGGGCAUUAGUAAGCCCAAACGGCAUAACAGUAAACUCAUAAUGUCCAUACCGUGUUCUAAAAGCCGUCUUCGACACAUCCUCAGGUCUGAUCCUCAACUGGUGAUAUCCCGACUGCAAGUCAAUCUUGGAAUAUACACAAGACCCCUGGAGCUGAUCAAAUAGAUCAUCAAUCCUUGGUAAUGGAUACUUGUUCUUAAUCGUGACUUUAUUAAGUUCACGAUAGUCUACGCAUAGGCGAAGUGAUCCAUCCUUCUUCUUCACAAACAAAAUCGGUGCUCCCCAAGGUGACACACUCGGUCGCACAAAACCCUUAUCCAGAAGAUCCUGCAACUGUGCCUUCAGCUCCUUCAAUUCUGCUGGUGCCAUCCUAUAGGGUGCCUUUGAGAUCGGGGUAGUCCCGGGAACGAGAUCUACCACAAACUCAAUCUUCCUAUCAGGAGGCAUGCCUGGAAGCUCCACUGGAAACACGUCUCCAAACUCUUGCACCACGGGGAUAUCCUCAAUCCUAGGAGCGCCAUCCACAUCCCGCAACACAACAGUAGCCAAAUAGGCUACGCAACCUCUACUAAUCAACUGUCUAGCUCGAGAGGAGCUAAUCGUCAUCGCAAACAGCGAACUCUGGCAUCCUCGGUACACAACCUCCGCCUGCCCCGGCUCUCUAAACAUCACCUUUCGAUUCUUGCAAUCGAUAGUGGCAUGGUACUUUGUCACGCCCCGGGACCGGCGGAGGCCCUCCCGGUGGCGUGCCCAGACCCGCCAUAUGUCUACACAUAUAAGGCGUCUACAACAAAGCGGAAGUAAAAGCGAGAAAUAGAACGAAUAGAAUAAUAACAACUAACGAUAUCAGAGCGACUAAGGUUCUAUCAUCUAAACCAAAGUAAAAGAAAUAUAACUAAACAAAGUAAGUAAAGCAUAAGGUGAUACAAUACUAACACCUCAAAGAAAUACCCAGAUCCAAAAGAAAGGUGGUCUCUAUACAUAUACGGGUACAACUUACAACCUCUCACAACAUAAAAACAUCGAGAGGUAGACCACCUAGCGACUCGUCACUCGCUGAAGAGCUAGCUCGAAGCCACGCCCUUUCCUCGAUCCCUAGCCUCUCCCGGCGUGGAAGGCUCUGAAAAAAAACAUAAAACAGAGGGCGUGAGAACUAUAAUUUAUAGUUCCCAGUGGGCAAUUACUGACCUCAGCUCAAUGCACCACUAGGCCCCAAAAGAAAGGGUAAGUCUAACAAUAAUAGUAACGAGUAAAUUGCAUAUAAGAAAGCAUAAUUAAGAUGCUAAGCUACGGCUUGCAAUUAAACAUGGCAUUUAUAAUGUGACUUUAUCUUGUCAUGGAUGAUAUAUAUUGUCACGCCCCGGGACCGGCGGAGGCCCUCCCGGUAGCGUGCCCAGACCCGCCAUAUGUCUACACAUAUAAGGCGUCUAGAAUAAAAGCGGAAGUAAAGGCAAGCAGGAGAACAAAUAGAAGAAGUGAAAUAACAAGCAACUAAUGAUAUCAGAGCGAGUAAAGUUCUAACAUCUAUACUAAUAGUAAUAGAGCAUAACUAAACAUAAAAGUAAACAUAAGUUAUACAGUAUCAACCUCUAAUACAAAAAUGGUGGUCUCUAAUACACUGGUAGAACUCUCAACCUCUCCAAAAUAAAACACAACGGGAGGUAGACCACCUAGCGAAUCGUCCUCGAAGGAAGCUAGCUCGAAGCAACUCCCUUCCCGCGGUCCCUGGCCUCACCCUGAGUGGAAGGCUCUGAAAAACAUCGAGAAAAAGAGGGCGUGAGAACUAUAAUUUAUAGUUCCCAGUGGGCAAUUACUGACCUCAGCUCAUGCUCCACUAGGCCCCAAAAAAAGGGUAAGUAAUGCUAAUAGUAAUAAGCAAUAGGAAGGAGCAUGUAAAUAAACUGCUGAAGGAGAGUGCAUAAGUAAAUUGCUAUACUAAUAAAUCCCUCAUAAGCACGAUGUCAAAAUAUUGUACUUAUAUUCUAUCAUAAGGGAAAAGUAACCAAUGACAAUAGUUUACUGAUACAACCCUUUAUUCAAACAUGAUGUAUAAGCUCUAUCGUGGCAACCAAGUAUACUAUGAUGAAAUAGGUAACUGUCAAGUGUACUACAUGUCUCAACUCUAUGCUAUAUGCAUGUAAAUGUACUCCAACUACUAAGCCUAACUAGUAGGGAGUGUUCAUUCUCAAACUGUGUCGAUUUCCAUUUCCAAUUAGGGACCUACCCAAGGUAGUCCAGCUUGUGCCGCCUAAGUGCCUGUGGUAGCCCGACAUUCCUACUCAUGGAAUGUGUCUGUCCCACUCGACCCCGUAGGCUUCUCGAUACCGCACGAGCGAACAUAAGUCGCAUAGGCUAACUCCGGAGUGCCGGCUUGUAGGGAGCGACCCUCACAAGCAUGUGCGAAUGAGCACAAAUGGCAAGCAAGCAAAGUCCAAGUCUCAAAUAUCAAAUUCUCAUGUCUCUAACAUGGUAAGGUCACUAGCAUCCCGAAGAUCUAGUUUAAAUCACAAUGUGAAGUUUCAACAUUUGCUACGCCUAGUGCCCCUUAAUGACACUUAGGCAAUUUGGUGUCCAACAUGUAUCCCAAGUCCCUCGAUGGCCCUAUCCACUAGGUUCACACAUGUCCCGAGCUCAAUGCCGCUUGAUGACAUUAGCUCUCUAAUUCACAUACCUUCUAAAUGACAAUCUUGUCAAUUUUCAUGUCACAAGUAAAUGUAGGUUUACAUGCAUGAAUCCGAACUCAUUUAUACUAUAGAAGCAUGAUACCACGUCUCAUAUAGAAUGCUAAAUGCAACUAUGGCCUAAUAAGCUACUCUCUACUACAUAGAGGUCCAAAAUUUCAUUAUAUAUAACAUAGGCCUUUUAAGCAUUCUAAAAUUCACAAUAAAUACAUAUAACAAGAAUAUGCAUGCUUUUUCAUUUAACAACACUUAAUUAAGCACAAAUGAGAAUUUCUCAUUGUGUGGCUAGGUCAAACCCACCGAACCGUCGCGUAGGGUCUCGUUUCGCCGAACCAAGUUGUCCCCGAGUCUCAAAAUACCCUAAAAGUAAUCAGCGAAGAGAUACGAGGGCAUUACGACCAUCCUAUAAUAUCAAAUAUUAACCUAGAAGCAAAAAGGGCCAAAACUCACCUCAAGUGAAGAAAUCUCUUCCAAAGCUCCAAAAGAGAGCUAGAACCCUUCCAAUCCAAGCCCUAGGAAGGUUCUAAACCAAUCAAUUUAGCCCCAAAAGCCCUAGAUCAAAAAUGCCCAAAAUCAAGCCCUAAAUCUCAUUUCUAGGGUUUAAACAAGCAAAAAGCUCCAAAACUAAGAUCUAGAGGGAGGAACCUUGCCACAUACCUCUAGGAUGCUCCAAUCCAAGCUCAAAAUCUUCUAGGGUUGAAGAUUGAUCCACCACAAAGCUCCAAAAGCAAGCUCCAAGCCUCCAAAGGUGGGAAAUGAGGAAGAAGAUGGUGCUCCAAGCAAGCCCUUCUCCUCUUCUUCCUCUUCUUCUCCUUCUUCUCCUUCUCCCUCUCUUCUUCUCUCUCUAGAAUGCAAAGGGUUAAGAGAAAAUGAGAGUGAGAGGGGAGGAGAGGCUGCCUAUAGCCUCUAAGGUAACAAAAUCCAGUUAGGCCCCUCAAAAACCCAAAAUUACAUCAGCCCGGACUGGGCAGUUUUCGCCCAGAGGGACCGGUCUCUCCCCAGCAGGGACCGGUCUCUCGCUGCGAACCCGAAAAACCAGCAUUCGGGAACCGGUCUCUUCCCUGCGCGGGACCGGUCUCUCACUGCGAGAACGCGCUCGGGGACCGGUCUCGCCUGCCAGGGACCGGUUGCCUCAGGCUGCCUCAGCACUGUUCACUGGGGGAACCGGUCUCUCCUUCCAGGGACCGGUCUCCGAGAGUAAAAACUCUCAGGACUUGUCCAAAGUUCCCGAUUUCGAACUUUUCGGGUCGGGAAACAUUUUACAACCCUCCACCAAGUGUGGAAAAGCUCGAAAUACAUUCAAACACUCGAACCUCGCAAUUUGCAAAGGUCCAGUGUGUUACAUAUAUCUACAUGUUCACAAGUAAUAUCAUGAUUUACUUUAUACAAAUAUGAAAGUGGUACUUUGUCAUGACUACAAUGCAUAUAAGGAUGUAAUAAACAACAUCUCCUAGCAUACUACAUGUAUGUAUGAAUACCCAAAUGUCCACAACUAUGCUAGAGGUAAGUCCAUGUAAUCCUACUACCACUCUCUGUCUAGUAGUGAUCAUAAUAAACUCAACACCGUGUCGAUUUUCAUUUCCAAUUAAGGACCUACCAAAGGAAGUCCAGCUUGUGCCGCCUAAGUGCCUGUGGUAGCCCGACAUCCCUACUCUUGGAAUGUGUCUGUCCCACUCGACCCCGUAGGCUUCUCAAUACCGCANNNNNNNNNNNNNNNNNNNNNNNNNGAUGCUAACCAAAUCUCUAGUCAUGAUGUCACCAAGUUUACUAUUGUCUUGGUCCUUUACAGUUUCAUACAUUCAUAGGGUUCUAUGUCCACAUUCUAAUGUUCAUGUGUAAGAUCUGGUCCUCUUUUAGAGGAUUCAAUAACUGACAAUACUACAAUUUAACUUCUAACUAGCUCUUUAUGCUAGUUUCACAAUUUCACUGUUUAUCUCACAAUGCUAUCCAAUUCUCAAGUAGAAUGUCACCAAGUUCACUAUUGUCAAAGUCCAUGCAUUCAUAGGGUUCUAUGUCCACAAUCUAGGUUCACAAAUUCUUAUUGUUGAUAGGAAUUCACAUUUUCACUCGCUCAAUGCCAAACACCCUAUAAUGCAUGACUACAAAUAUAAAUAUGCUCAACGGAGAAUUAUAGACAUAAAAGGUGAUUCAAAGAGUUCGGAUAGCACCACCCACCUGUAGUGGUGUCAAUCAACUAGAAUCCACGUCUCAGAAAGCGUCGACGACUAUCUCUCGCGACUCCGUGCAAAUAGGACUAAAGCGGUCUCUAUCGUAAUUAGCGUGUCGUCGACCUGUCGGAAAGUCAAUUUAGACUCUUGGGCAUGUUUCCAUUUCACUUAUAAAGGAUUAGAAAAGAUUAAACUAGAGUCAUUACACAUAAUUGACAAGUUAGCAUUUCAAUGCUAUAUAAAGCGGCAAUUAUAGCAAAAAACCUUCUUUUGGCGAUAUCUUUGCGUAGGUUCGUUGGAUUGCCGAACCGACUUCGCCAACGCGUUUCUUUUACCCUCAAUUUGGUUUACACGCGGUCAAUUUCGCAUUAGGACUCUUAUUUUGCAAAAGUGCAUUGUCGGGGUCAAUUUUCAAUACAAACCCAUUUCAAUGCAAUUUCACUUUCAAUGCAAUUGCAAUUUCACAAUUACAUCGAGUUCUUUCAACUCGUUCUUUCUCGUUUUCUUUCUCUCAUUUUUCCUCUCUUCUAUUUCUUUUUUCUUUCUUCCAUUCUUUUCCUCAUUCUUUCCUUUCUCUUUUCUUACUUUCUUUCUUUCUUUCUUUCUUUCAUUCUUUCUUUCCUUUCUUUCCUGCAGGUUUUUCUUGUCUUUCUUUAUUGCUUUCUUUCCUUCUUUUCUUCCUUUGCAGGACAGCUUCUACUGCUGUUACUGCUGCUGCUACUGAAGCUUCUGCUGCUGCUAAUAGCAGCUGCGCAAGCUGCUGCUGCUGACUGCUUGCCCUGCUGCUGCUGCUGCCUGCUUGCCCUGCUGCUGCUGACUGCUCAGCAGCAGGCUGAGCUGCUGUUGCUACUCAGCUCAGCAGGGCUGAGCUGCUGAUGCUGCUGCUGCUAUUAUUGCAGCUGCUGCUGAUGCUAACUGCUGGUGCCACUGCUGCUGCUGCUAGCUGCAGCUGCUGCUGCUGUUUGCUGCUGCUGCUGCUGAGCAAGCUGCUACUGCAGCUUGCUGCUGCUGCUAAUCCUGCUGCUGAUCCAGCAGCUGCUGCUGCUGGCUGCUCCAGCAGCAGCUGCUGAUGCUACUGCUGCUGCUGCUGUUCCUGCUCAACAGCUAGCUGAGCUGCUGCUGCUGUUGAUAGGGAAGAAGAGUGAGGGGGAAAAAGAUAGCAAGGAGAGAGGGAGAGAGAUUAAAUUUCUUACCUUUUUCUUCUUCCUUUUCUUCUCCUGCUACUCUUUUCUCUUCUUUUCUUCUUCUCUCUCUUUUCUCCUUCUCUCUCUCUCUACGUAUGGAACCAGGGUGAAGCAGAGGGGAUAAGAAUGAAGGCCUCCCUGCUGCCAGAUUAGUGGAAAUCCACUAACUUAGUGAUAAAUGACCAUAAUGCCCCUCGACUUAAGUUCGUUUAGUCGCACGGAUUAGAUACCUUUUGCAGGCUCUUCCGACAGUCCGAUUGAGCUCAAAUUUGGCAGGAAUGUUCGUUUUUACUUGACAAGUCCACUGAAAUUUUAACAUUUCAGUUUCGACCCCGUUUGGUCACUGCGAACUGUCCUGAACUGUAAUCUUUAUCAGAUAACUUCCAGAUGCUAUUUCUCUCUCUACAGGUGUCAGAAAAAUCUGAAACUUCAAAACUAGCCUUAUAAUAAUGUUCCUGACAUCUCUGCCAAUUUUUGUAAUUUUCUGACACUGUGCAUUUUCUGCUAAUUUUCUCAGUCCCGUUUCUUACAGAAAAUUCUAAAAUUUCCGUUUUCGCUCCGAUUUCACCCAAACACUUCUAAAAUACACCAAGGGACCUUCCCAAGCUACCAAUUUAAUUUGGAAGCAAUUUCUUUUCAUUUUGACAUUAUUUGAGCCGAAUUAGAAAUAGAAUCGGCUCUAAUUCCAUUACAUGACCUUUUUGCACUACCACUUCGCACUGAGCUCUUCAAAACCCUGUGAAAACACACCCUUGGCUUUACCAAAACUUCACAAUUGAUUCGGAGGUACCACAAUUUAUCCUUACACCUUACUUUAAUUCUUUUAAUCAAAGUUAGCGUCGGAAUUUCGAAAAUUCUCUUUACUCUCUUUACAUUUCGUUUCGCGCCCAAUUUGCGCCGAAACACUUAUUUCUCUUUGGAACUCAUUCCAACGCAUCACAAAUCCCUCGGGGAUGAUGUCCAACUAGCUCAAUCCUCACUUUGACCCUCUAGGUCAAAGUUGACAUUGCAGCUUCAGGAUGCCAUAUAUUACACACAAGCAUGUGCGAAUGAGCACAAAUGGCAAGCAAGCAUAGUCAACGUCUCAAAUACCCAAUCAUCAUGUCUCUAACAUGGCAAUAUUCACUAGCAUCUCGAAGAUCUAGUUCUAGGUCACAAUGUGAAAUUUUAAUAUUCACUAAGUCUAGUGCCCCUUUAUGACACUUAGACACUUCGAUGAACAAGCACACUCCAACUCUCUCAAUGGCACUAUCCACUAAAUUCACACAUAACCCNAACUCAUAAUGUCCAUACCGUGUUCUAAAAGCCGUCUUCGAUACAUCCUCAGGUCUGAUCCUCAACUGGUGAUAUCCCGACUGCAAGUCAAUCUUGGAAUAUACACAAGAUCCCUGGAGUUGAUCAAAUAGAUCAUCAAUCCUCGGCAAUGGAUACUUGUUCUUGAUCGUGACUU
Molecule: long non-coding RNA, 7527 nt
Filed under: Ananas comosus (pineapple)
Lineage: Eukaryota; Viridiplantae; Streptophyta; Magnoliopsida; Poales; Bromeliaceae
Description: long non-coding RNA (ACOM_LNC034962)
Source: RNAcentral